RNAcentral lists this ribosomal RNA (253 nucleotides) under uncultured bacterium. RNAcentral's name for it is "partial 16S ribosomal RNA". It matches the Rfam family "Bacterial small subunit ribosomal RNA", at positions 524 to 776 of the family's 1533-position model. The record is from RNAcentral.
UACGUAGGGUGCAAGCGUUGUCCGGAAUUAUUGGGCGUAAAGAGCUCGUAGGCGGUUUGUCGCGUCUGCUGUGAAAACUCGGGGCUCAACCCCGAGCUUGCAGUGGGUACGGGCAGACUAGAGUGCGGUAGGGGAGACUGGAAUUCCUGGUGUAGCGGUGGAAUGCGCAGAUAUCAGGAGGAACACCGGUGGCGAAGGCGGGGUCCUGGGCCAGUACUGACGCUGAGGAGCGAAAGCGUGGGGAGCAAACAGG